Molecule: ribosomal RNA, 253 nt
Filed under: uncultured bacterium
Lineage: Bacteria
Description: partial 16S ribosomal RNA
Rfam family: Bacterial small subunit ribosomal RNA
Source: RNAcentral
UACAGGGGGUGCAACCGUUAAUCGGAAUUACUGGGCGUAAAGCGUGCGUAGUCGGUUAUUUAAGUCGGAUGUGAAAUCCCCGGGCUCAACCUGGGAACUGCGCUUGUGACUGGCAGGCUAGAGUACGGCAGAGGGGGGUGGAAUUCCACGUGUAGCAGUGAAAUGCGUAGAGAUGUGGAGGAACACCAAUGGCGAAGGCAGCCCCCUGGGUCGAUACUGACGCUCAUGCACGAAAGCGUGGGUAGCAAACAGG